UACAGAGGUCCCAAGCGUUGUUCGGAUUCAUUGGGCGUAAAGGGUGCGUAGGUGGCGUCGUAAGUCGGGUGUGAAAUUUCGGAGCUCAACUCCGAAACUGCAUUCGAUACUGCGGUGCUUGAGGACUGGAGAGGAGACUGGAAUUUACGGUGUAGCAGUGAAAUGCGUAGAGAUCGUAAGGAAGACCAGUGGCGAAGGCGGGUCUCUGGACAGUUCCUGACACUGAGGCACGAAGGCCAGGGAGCAAACGGG
RNAcentral lists this ribosomal RNA (252 nucleotides) under uncultured bacterium. RNAcentral's name for it is "partial 16S ribosomal RNA". It matches the Rfam family "Bacterial small subunit ribosomal RNA", at positions 524 to 776 of the family's 1533-position model. The record is from RNAcentral.